RNAcentral lists this ribosomal RNA (427 nucleotides) under uncultured Pseudomonas sp. RNAcentral describes it as "bacterial SSU rRNA". It matches the Rfam family "Bacterial small subunit ribosomal RNA", at positions 956 to 1382 of the family's 1533-position model. The record is from RNAcentral. Lineage: Bacteria; Pseudomonadati; Pseudomonadota; Gammaproteobacteria; Pseudomonadales; Pseudomonadaceae.
GCAACGCGAAGAACUUACCAGGCCUUGACAUGCAGAGAACUUUCCAGAGAUGGAUUGGUGCCUUCGGGAACUCUGACACAGGUGCUGCAUGGCUGUCGUCAGCUCGUGUCGUGGGAUGUUGGGUUAAGUCCCGUAACGAGCGCAACCCUUGUCCUUAGUUACCAGCACGUUAUGGUGGGCACUCUAAGGGAGACUGCCGGUGACAAACCGGAGGAAGGUGGGGAUGACGUCAAGUCAUCAUGGCCCUUACGGCCUGGGCUACACACGUGCUACAAUGGUCGGUACAAAGGGUUGCCAAGCCGCGAGGUGGAGCUAAUCCCAUAAAACCGAUCGUAGUCCGGAUCGCAGUCUGCAACUCGACUGCGUGAAGUCGGAAUCGCUAGUAAUCGUGAAUCAGAAUGUCACGGUGAAUACGUUCCCGGGCCUU